RNAcentral lists this ribosomal RNA (770 nucleotides) under uncultured bacterium. RNAcentral's name for it is "bacterial SSU rRNA". It matches the Rfam family "Bacterial small subunit ribosomal RNA", at positions 8 to 796 of the family's 1533-position model. The record is from RNAcentral.
AGAGUUUGAUCCUGGCUCAGGAUAAACGCUGGCGGCGUGCCUAAUGCAUGCAAGUCGAACGGGGUCUCACUUCGGUGGGAUCGAGUGGCGAACAGGUGAGGAACGCGUGGAGAACCUACCCCGGCGUGGGGGAUACCCGCCAGAAAUGGCGGCUAAUACCGCGUACGGUCCAGGGGCGAGAGGCUUGCUGGAAGAAAGCAGGAAUGCGCGCUGGGAGGGGUCUGCGCCCGAUUAGCUUGUUGGUGGGGUAACGGCCUACCAAGGCGAUGAUCGGUAGCUGGUCUGAGAGGAUGAUCAGCCACACGGGGACUGAGACACGGCCCCGACUCCUACGGGAGGCAGCAGCAAGGAAUUUUCCGCAAUGGGGGCAACCCUGACGGAGCAACGCCGCGUGACGGAUGACGCCUUUUGGGGUGUAAACGUCUUUUGGCGAGGGAGAGAAUGGACGGUACUCGGCGAAUCAGGACCGGCUAACUACGUGCCAGCAGCCGCGGUAAUACGUAGGGUCCGAGCGUUGUCCGGAAUUACUGGGCGUAAAGCGUGCGCAGGCGGCUUUCCACGCGCUACGUGAAAGCCCCGGGCUCAACCCGGGAGGGUCGUGGCGAACGGGAAGGCUUGAGGCCGGUAGAGGUGGGUGGAACUCCUGGUGGAGUGGUGAAAUGCGUAGAGAUCAGGAAGAACACCCGUGGCGAAGGCGGCCCACUGGGCCGGACCUGACGCUGAGGCACGAAGGCGUGGGGAGCGAACGGGAUUAGAUACCCCGGUAGUCC